Molecule: ribosomal RNA, 776 nt
Filed under: uncultured Neocallimastigales
Lineage: Eukaryota; Fungi; Neocallimastigomycota; Neocallimastigomycetes; Neocallimastigales
Description: partial large subunit ribosomal RNA
Rfam family: Eukaryotic large subunit ribosomal RNA
Source: RNAcentral
AGAGAGAGACAUGCGCGCAUAUCAAUAAGCGGAGGAAAAGAAACUAACAAGGAUUCCCUUAGUAACGGCGAGUGAAGCGGGAAGAGCUCAAAUUUGAAAUCUUCAAGGUUUUACCUUGACGAAUUGUAGUUUAAAGAAGUGUUUUCUGCUGAAGUUUUGGUAAAAGUUCUUUGGAAUAGGACAUCAUAGAGGGUGAGAAUCCCGUAUUUGACCAUUAUUUUCAGCUUUGUGAUACACUUUCAAAGAGUCGGGAUUGUUUGGGAAUGCAUGUCCAAAAUGGGUGGUAAAUUUCAUCUAAAGCUAAAUAUUGGCGAGAGACCGAUAGCGAACAAGUACCGUGAGGGAAAGAUGAAAAGAACUUUGAAAAGAGAGUUAAACAGUACGUGAAAUUGUCAAAAGGGAAGCGUUUGACACCAGUGUUGUUUUCUCGAAAAUCAAUUAAAAAUGGCUCGAUUUUGUAUUGCUGAGACCUUAAAAGCUCACUGUACAUUUUUCGUGUCUUUUUUAAUGCACUUUUCGUUUAACAAGUCAACAUCAGUUUCUUUUGUUGUAAAAGGGUCAUUGGAAGGUGGCUUUCUUUUCGGAGAAAGUGUUUAUAGCCUUUGGCCUCUGCAAUCGGAGAGACUGAGGUCUGCAGCGUAGACUCUUCGGGGUUAGAUACAUUUGUGCUAAGUUAUAGCUUUUUAUAGACAACUUGUUGACUAUAAUUAGUCUUGUAGCUUACUCGCUUAUGCUAUUUUACCUACGCUUAGGAUGUUGAAGAUGUAGCACAUCAU